This 716-nucleotide long non-coding RNA is filed under the name Homo sapiens (human). RNAcentral's name for it is "HSALNT0049766". The record is from RNAcentral. Lineage: Eukaryota; Metazoa; Chordata; Mammalia; Primates; Hominidae.
UAAGGUACAAACAAAUGGAAGACAUUUUAGAACUUGACACACACUGCACAAUUCAUCUGGAAGAAAAAGCACAUGGUCACCGCAGGGCCUUUCACAGGGCCGGUGAAGAGGAGGGUGGGCCUGUCCUGGCAGAUGUGAAAAGGCCACAGAGCUGCAGGUGGAGACAGCAGAGCACAGAAGGGGCCCCUACGGCAACUAAGAGGCAGGCAUAUGCCCACCAGGGAAAAGAAAUGGAUUACUCGAUCACGCCCAUUGUUUGGGGAUAGAUCUAGAUAGCUGGCUCUCAAACCUUACACAAAAAUUAAUGCUAGAUUGGUUAUACAAUUACAGGUUAAGCAGUAAUUCAUUAAAACGGUGGUGAGAAUCUGGGCAAAGGCUACCCUUGCAUACAUAAGCCCAGCAAGGGACUGCUCUCUACGCACUCCAGCAAGCCAGGCCCUGAGGAAAGGACACGUGGAUUUCACAACACGAGAAAAACUUCCACGUGCAAACUGCAAACUGCAAGACAGUUAUUUGCACACAAGGCAUAGGAGAAGUUGCUGUGCUUUAGAGAGUUCCCAUCCAUCAGGAAGAGCAAACAUCUCCAAUGAAAAGGGACCAGUGGAGGCCGGGCGCAGUGGCUCACGCCUGUAAUCCCAGCACUUUGGGAGGCUGAGGUGGGUGGAUCACGAGGUCAGGAGUUUGAGACCAGCCUGCCCAACGUGGAGAAACCCCAU